This is a long non-coding RNA of Peromyscus californicus insignis, 607 nucleotides long. RefSeq lists it as uncharacterized. NCBI's taxonomy places the organism in Eukaryota, Metazoa, Chordata, Mammalia, Rodentia, Cricetidae. The record is from RefSeq and is a predicted model, not a curated record. The transcript has 3 exons.
GUUUUAGGAGCUCAGAAGUCCAACAUCAUGGUGCUGGCAGAGUCAGUGCCUGGACAUGAAAACUGAGGCUCAGAGAGGGCUCCUAACAUGUCCAACAUCUUCAAGUCAGGAAUCAACCAUUGCUGUUGUUUGUGGAAACACACACACACACAAAAGGAAGUGCCUCUUUGCUACGGACCAUCUUGCCAGAAGAGGGCACCAGAUCUCAUUACAGAUGGCUGUGAGCCACCAUGGGGUUGCUGGGAAUUGAACUCAGGACCUCUGGAAGAGCAGCCAGUGCUCUUAACCACUGAGCCAUCUCUCCAGCCCUCGUGAGUAUUUUAAAGCAAGUAGUUUGCUUCCUGCAACUCAUGCAAGCUGGUAACCAGUCUACAGUGAGUCUGCUCCCAAGGCCUGUCACCUGUGUCUGACCACAUGCAAGCCAGUCACAAUAGCUAACUCUGUAUUUCAUCUCCAGUUCUGUCCAUCCGCCAGGGUAGGUCCUCAUUGGCUUAUCUUCUGAAAGGCUGUUGGAAGGAAGUGCAGGCUGCUGCCUGAUACAGAUUUCUCUCUCUCAACAAAACAAAACACAUAAAGAAAAUCAUCUGGGGUUUAACCUAGGCCCUCU